AGCUUUGAGCAGUGGUCAUAUCAUAGCCAAUGAGGCUUAUCUGAGGUGUGAUUAUUGCUAACUGAAAACUUUUCCCAAUUACCCCACCAUGACACUUGGAAAGUGGCUCUAGGGUAAAAAUUAUUAAUUUAGAAACCAAA
Hyaena hyaena (striped hyena) is the source of this 140-nucleotide small nuclear RNA. RefSeq annotates it as U4 spliceosomal RNA. The transcript has a single exon. The record is from RefSeq and is a predicted model, not a curated record. NCBI's taxonomy places the organism in Eukaryota, Metazoa, Chordata, Mammalia, Carnivora, Hyaenidae.